Molecule: transfer RNA, 69 nt
Filed under: Palaemon annandalei
Lineage: Eukaryota; Metazoa; Arthropoda; Malacostraca; Decapoda; Palaemonidae
Description: tRNA-Trp
Source: RNAcentral
AGGGUUUUAAGUUAAAAAAAACUAGAAACCUUCAAAGUUCCCAAUAGGAGUUAAACCUCUUAAACCCUA